RNAcentral lists this transfer RNA (68 nucleotides) under Prymnesium neolepis. It matches the Rfam family "tRNA". Rfam says of the family: Transfer RNA (tRNA) molecules are approximately 80 nucleotides in length. Their secondary structure includes four short double-helical elements and three loops (D, anti-codon, and T loops). The record is from RNAcentral. Lineage: Eukaryota; Haptophyta; Prymnesiales; Prymnesiaceae. RNAcentral also lists the same sequence under 1 other name.
GUGUUUAGCUCAGUUGGGAGAGCGACGGCCUUACAAGCCGUAGGUCACAGGUUCGACCCCUGUAACAC